RNAcentral lists this ribosomal RNA (429 nucleotides) under Chloroflexota bacterium. RNAcentral describes it as "Chloroflexi bacterium partial 16S ribosomal RNA". It matches the Rfam family "Bacterial small subunit ribosomal RNA", at positions 355 to 776 of the family's 1533-position model. Lineage: Bacteria; Bacillati; Chloroflexota. The record is from RNAcentral.
UGGGGAAUAUUGCACAAUGGGCGCAAGCCUGAUGCAGCCAUGCCGCGUGUAUGAAGAAGGCCUUCGGGUUGUAUAGUACUUUCAGCGGGGAGGAAGGGAGUAAAGUUAAUACCUUUGCUCAUUGACGUUACCCGCAGAAGAAGCACCGGCUAACUCCGUGCCAGCAGCCGCGGUAAUACGGAGGGUGCAAGCGUUAAUCGGAAUUACUGGGCGUAAAGCGCACGCAGGCGGUUUGUUAAGUCAGAUGUGAAAUCCCCGGGCUCAACCUGGGAACUGCAUCUGGUACUGGCAAGCUUGAGUCUCGUAGAGGGGGGUAGAAGUCCAGGUGUAGCGGUGAAAUGCGUAGAGAUCUGGAGGAAUACCGGUGGCGAAGGCGGCCCCCUGGACGAAGACUGACGCUCAGGUGCGAAAGCGUGAGGAGCAAACAGG